GCUGCGCCGGCCGGGCGCGCGGAGGGGGGCGGGGACGCGGAAGGCGCGGCGGCCGGGGAGGCUGCGGCGGCGGCGGCGCGGUGAAGCGAGAGCCGACGCGCGGGGCGAGGGGACGCCCGACGGCGUCCGAGGGCGCGGUGGCGCGAGGCCUGAGGGAGGGGACGCGAUGCUGGAGACCCUGCGCGAGCGGCUGCUGAGCGUACAGCAGGAUUUCACCUCCGGGCUGAAGACUUUAAGUGAUAAGUCAAGAGAAGCAAAAGUGAAAGGCAAACCCAGGACUGCUCCACGCUUACCGAAGUACUCUGCUGGACUAGAAUUACUUAGCAGGUAUGAGGAUGCGUGGGCUGCACUUCACAGAAGAGCCAAGGAGUGUGCAGACGCUGGCGAGCUGGUGGACAGCGAGGUGGUCAUGCUGUCUGCCCACUGGGAGAAGAAGAGGACCAGCCUGAACGAGCUGCAGGGGCAGCUGCAGCAGCUGCCCGCUCUCCUGCAGGACUUGGAGUCUCUGAUGGCAAGCCUGGCUCAUUUAGAGACAAGUUUUGAAGAGGUAGAGAACCAUUUGCUGCACCUGGAGGACUUGUGUGGGCAGUGUGAGUUAGAAAGACACAAGCAGGCCCAGGCCCAACACCUGGAGAGCUACAAGAAAAGUAAGAGGAAGGAGCUUGAAGCCUUCAAAGAGCAGUAUCUUCUCAAACCCUGACAAGCAUUGCCACCAGUGGACCCCGAGUGUUCGGCUGCCUGGCUAUGGAGGAAAUUUCUCAUUGAAACCACCACACUGGUCAUAGGGCGCCUCUAGGAAAGCAACACACAGGCUUGCAAGCAGCCAGUGUCCUUCCAGUACGCCUGCCAGGCGCUCGUUACUAAUUCCAGAGACUCUUGACAAGAAAAAGAAGAAGAGAGUUAUCGCUGACUCUCCUGUGGUCUGCAGCAUGCUGGUUACAACUCCUGUGCGCUCGCUCACACUGACCUACUGUGUGCCUGAAGGCUCUCCAGCAUGUUGUUUAUGCUCGUAUUACCUGUGUGCCUCACUUGUUAGGACAAAGGUCCUAAAGGCUAUUCCUACUAUGGCUGUACCGAACAGACCCUGUGUUGUCAACAUUUCUAUUUUACCCACUGUGGUGGCUAAGCUCAUGGCCAGUUGUUGAAGAUGCUGCUCUGUGACCACGUGAUGGCAUGUAUUGUCACACUCUCAUGGCUUUUACGUAAUUGUGGUCCCCUAUGCAUGGGUGUUGCUUUUCACUAGUAGUUUGAAUGAAAUAAGAUUUGAAAUCCUCAUCAAAUGCCUCUUUGCUUCUUGCUUGUUUUGAUUGAGCAGUUUAGUAUUUCUUAUAUAAUAAAGAGAUGAAAAAAGCCCCGUCAAGCUAACAAUAAAAGACAAGCAGGCACAUGUUAUAUAAUAAAGUGUCAGCUUGACUUGCGUCUCCCCAUGAAGCAUUUUGUUGUAGCGUAUUGUUCUCAGAGACCAACUGUUUGCAAAAGGUUAGCUAGUAUUACAUAUUGCUUGAUAUAGUAAUUCAACUUGGGAUGAAAUCUCUUAUUUAUAUGCACAUUUCUAAUUUUGUGCAGCAUCUACACCAGGUCUAUCCACAGAACAAUUUAUGCUCUUGAAUGUGACCAAACUCAAAAUUUGCCUUAUAGGUACGCUUUAAGUGUAUUUUAAGAAUCACCCUUGCGGCCGGGCAGUGGUGGCACACACCUUUGAUCCCAGCACUUGGGAGGCAGAGGCAGGUGGAUUUCUGAGUUCAAGGCCAGCCUGGUCUACAGAGUGAGUUCCAGGACAGCCAGGGCUACACAGAGAAACCCUGUCUUAAAAACCAAAAAAAAAAAAAAAAAAAAAAAAAAAAGACUCACAUUCACAGAGGCAUGCACUUAUACUCCAGUGUGUUAGGAGGCGGGGGUAGGAGAGUGAGUCCCUGAACCCAGGAGCACAACAUCACCAACCUAACCAAAGAUGAGGAGAGCCUGUCUUAAGAAAAGGGGAAGGAAAGAAAAACGUUUGCAUUUGAAUGUUUUGCCAUUACUUUAGAAGUACAAUUAGCCUAUAAUAAGAAAAUUAACUAUUCUUCCAAAAUAUUAAUGGAUAAAAGGUUUAAAAAUUAACCCAAUCAUGUUAUAAUCCUAUUUUUUAAUGUUGCCUUUGUUCUUGAACCUUUUGAGAGUGCAGAGGAACAAGAGGUUUUACUUUCUGCAGUUUUACUCAGCUUAGUCGUCACACUUGGAGGCCCUCUCUAAGUUGAAGAAGUGAGUGACUUGGAGGGAAUGAAGCACCAGAUUAGAAACAGAGUUGGUGUCAUCCCAGAGUCUGGCUUCUCCCUCUGCUUGCUGAGGCUGAUGUGCUCAGUUUAUCAUGCUCUUCUGUUGCACGAGGCAGAUGUCUGCUGUGGUAUGAAAACUGUUGUUUCAAUGCUAGUAGUGAGAAGACUUUUAAUUCCCCAAAUGCUGCAUUCCCUUAAGCUUGGUGAGGAGUUUCAAGUAUUAAAAACAGUAGAGAAAGGAUGGUUUGGUUUUUAUUUUUUAUUUUAUUUUUUUUUUAGAGCUAGAGUUUGUUAAUAGGGCUGGACAAAGGUCCUUUAUACAUGCUAGAAAAGCAGUCUCCUUCUGAACUCUGCCCAUCCCUUUGUAAUUAUGCUUUAGGACAGUCUCACCAAAUUAGCUAGGCUUGCCUCGAAAUGCAUGCUCCUUCUGUCUCAGUAGCUGGGAUGGUAGGUGUAUGCUGUCAUAUCCAGCAAGAAAAGAAUUUCAUUUAAUUUUUUAAAGAGACUGUCUUACUAUGCUGAGUAGACCAGGCUGGCCAUGAAUACACAGAGGUCUAUCUGCCUCUACCUCCUCAGUGAUGGGAUGAAAGGCACUUGGCAGCAUACCUGUUAGUUUUAUUAUUGUUUGUGUGAGGCUGUGUGUGUGGAGACCAGAGCACAGCUCUGUGGAGUCUGGUCACUCUUUCCACCUUUACAUGGGCCCCAGGGAUCAAACUCAGGUAUUUAGGUUAAUUUUAUUUUCAUGAAACAAUAUUUUGGUAGCAUGAAUGUAUAUAUAUCAUGUGUAUGCAGUGCCCAUAGAGGUCAGAAGAGGGUGUUGGCUCCUCUGGAACUGAAGUUACAAGGUAGUGAGCUGCCGUGUAGCUAACAAACCAGAUGCUCUGUUACAGCAGCAAGUGGGCUGAAUUGCUGAGCAAUCUCUUCAGCCCCUAGUUUUAAAAGUAGGCUUUUAUUCCAUGUAUAAAUCCUAAAAAUUACUCUUAAGAUUUUAAGUCUAAAAAUGUAUCACUGCAAAGGAACAAAGAUUUACAGUUAGCAAUUCCUCUCUGAUUGUAUAAUACUUGACUUAGCAUGGUUUUAUAUAUUACGUUUGCCUUGUUUGUCAAGGAACCACCAGACCCUUUUCUCUGGAAGCUACACCAGCUGGACCUGUCCUUGUUGAAUACUUAGAGGAGACAUUAGCCACUCUCUCGGAUACCGAUCUCCAUAAAUACAACAGCUAGCUUAGCUAGGGAGAGUGUCUGCUCACACAGCCACCUCUGCAGUGUACUGCUCUCUGUGCUCAAAUUAAAUACUGGAUAAAAAUGGAACCUCACAGUUAAAGGCAAUUAUAAUAAAUGAGGAUUGCAACUCUUUGGGAAACUUAAUAGAGUUAGCCUUUAAAAUUUGCCAUAAAUCAUAUAGUCAGAAAUUAGAAAGAAUUCAGAGGAAGGGUUCUGUACAUGAACUAUACCAUCUAUAUUUCUGUUCUUUUUUUUUUAAUCUAGUGCAGUGUGGGUAAUUUAUAUAAGAAAUUUCAGUCAGAAGAUAAUGCUUACUGAGUAUGGAAUUAAAACUGUGGGUGGGGCUGGUGAGAUGGCUCAGUGGCUGAGAGCCCAGGGGAGCCAUUUUCAUUCAAACCAACAUAUCACCUGACUGGAGACUUGAGAGAUAUUAGGAUUCUCACUUGCUGGGUGACUGUGAAAUGUACCUUGUGCUUACAGUGACAUAGCAACAUUUAGUGUGCUUCAAAUCAAACUAAUAGUAGUACAUGUUGAGCUUGCGUAACAGCUGCUUCAGUCCAGGAGCUGCUCCAACAUGUGAGGCAAAGCUAUUUUAGCUGCUGUUUGGGAAUACUAAGUGAUAAAGACUCAAGUUGGAUGACAGAACCACCUUUUACCCUCAUGGAUCUGACACACUGCUAGAGCUUACAGGAUAGAAAGGCAAACGUAGUUUGAGUAUUACCUACAAGAGGGGGAAUAGACACUUAACACGGGGUAAUCAACUGGAGCUCUCGCUCAGACUGACCGGUACGUCCCUGCAGGGAAGGAGGACAGGAAGGACAGUGGGAAGGGUGAGAACACUGCAGGAAUGUACGGACAUUUAUUUCAAGAACUGAAGCUAAAGUUUGGAUUUCUUGUUCACUGAAAGAACUACAAGUAAUUUGUCAUCACCGAAGCAUCUGAUGCGUGGGAAGAAGUGAGGGACAGUUGGACACAGGGGGAGCAAGUGGUACAUGACGGCCUUCCUGUCAGGCAUACGCAGGGCUUUGUGGUUAGACCAGUGAUCUCCACAGAGGGAACAGGGAGGGAGGCCCACGUAUGUUCACACGCAUGCAUGCAUGUGUGUGUGUGUGUGUGUGUGUGUGUGUGUCCGCACGUGCAUGUGUGCUUGAGUAACCAGAGGACAGCCUGUGAACUCUUUCCUUCCCACCUCGUGAGUACUGAACUGGAGUCCUCAGGCUUAUUGGCUGGCAUCUUCACUUGGUUAGCUUUGUUCCUCACUUCUAGAACUUGUCUCAUUUUUCUUUCUUUCUGCGAUCUUUUUAGAUGUUAAUUUUGUACGCUGUUUGUUCUUGAGGCAGUUUUUCAUGUAAUUCAGGCUGGCCUCAUCACUGUAGAUGACUGAGCUUCUGAACCUCCUGCCUGACUCUGAGUGCUGGGAUUGGAGGUGCUCCCCACUGCGUCACAUCUGUGUGACGCUGGGCAUCAAAUGCGUUCCAAGGCAAGAACUCUACAAACUGAGCUACCAUCUCAAUACAGUACCUGUAUUUGUAAUAACAUUAUAUAUAGAGGUUGAGUUAUAUAUGUACAUUAUCAAAUUUGAAAGGCUUAUGUUAAAGAUUGUUGUUCCUUGUGGGAGUGCAUGCUCAAGGGAGCGUGGAGGUUCAUCUGAACCCAAGGAGUUCCAGUUAGAACUCACAGGGUAGAUCUGCUUUAUAAUUUCUGGGAUCUCUUAGGAGGGUAGGGUGGAGAAGAGCAGAUCCAAGAUCUGGGAGCUUAGGGUGAGCUGCACGUGCUGGCAUGUGCCUGUGAGCUCAGCUCCUUCCUUCAGAUGCUCCAGCCCAUGAGUCCACUAGUCUGGCAGCAAAGCAAGAACCAGUCUCAAAUUAACAAAACAACAAAAGUAAGGCUAAAGGAAAAAAGGAGAAUGGGAGAGAGAGUGUUAGGUUAAAGGAAGUUGUUUUGUUUGUUUGUUUGUUUUGUUUUGUUUUUUUAGUGUAUUUGCCUAAAAGGGGAAAAGAGAAUGUAGAAAGGUUGAUUGAAGAAGAACAGCAGAGAACGUUUAUGGGCUAUGCAGUUCUAAAGCAGGGCUCGGCUGCCAGUUACUGUAACUGUCAGAAGUGUGACAUUUGAGGGCUUGCUGUACAUUCCAAGCCACUGGGUAGUGCUACUGAAUUCCAGGGAGCCUUUAUUAAAGCUACAUUUAAAUGUGAUGGGGGAAAUUUAAAGAUGCCUAUGUAUUAUAAAGCAAACCUAUCCUUUAUUUUAAUUUGUCCACCUUCAGACAUUAAUGUUUCUUGUGCUGUUUAGAUGCUUCUCUUGCAUCUUUGCACCUAGAUGACAAGUUCAGAAGGACUUAGUAUAUUUCCAGCCCAGCCCACCCCUAUUUUCAGCAUCAUUUGGUAUGGUCCCAGAUCAGUGCGUGCAUCUUUGUAUGCCAGAGCCCCUGAGAGCUUGCAUUUUGCUUUAUAGAGGCAGGAGAUUCCCAUGUCUGUCUGCUUAAGCCAUCAGAAUCAUCGGGAAACCAAAAGGCUCAACACAUUUUCUUUGGAGGAAAACCAAGCCAGCUUCUGGCUGCAGCCUCGCUUCCUUUGUUCUCCAUCUCAGAAGAUGCACGUGAGGGGAGCUGCCUGGUAACUGGGGUUCCUCUGGACCAGCGUGCUUCUGCCCGUUUGCUCAGUUCUUAAUCAUGUCAUCUCCAGGACUCCAGGAAAACAGUCAGAGGACCCCCUGUAGCUGAACUCGAUACAGAGCACACACAGAAGGCCCUGGAAAUGGAGCACACCCAGCAACUGAAGCUGAAGGAGCGGCAGAAGUUCUUCGAGGAAGCCUUCCAGCAGGACAUGGAACAGUACCUGUCCACGGGCUACCUGCAGAUCGCAGAGAGGCGAGAGCCUAUGGGCAGCAUGUCAUCCAUGGAAGUGAAUGUGGACGUGCUGGAGCAGAUGGACCUGAUGGACAUCUCAGACCAGGAGGCUCUCGAUGUCUUCCUGAACUCCGGCGGAGAGGACAACAUUGUGAUGUCCCCUGGUGUGGAGAUGGAAUCCAACCCCAAUCAGAAUGAAAUGAGUCUUCAGAUUCCAAGUCCCUCAGAAUCAGCAUCCCAGCCACCUGCCUCACCCUCUGCCUGCACUGACCUGGACACUGCUGAUGCCCCCCUCAUCCAGUCUGAUGAGGAGGAGGUACAGGUGGACACGGCCUUGGUCACAUUACACACUGACAGAAAGUCCACCCCAGGUGUCAGUGAUGACAGUGACCAGUGUGACUCAACUCAGGACAUUUAAGUGACUUGUCAGCUGUGCGCAGAAUCCUCCUGCAAAGCCAGGUGCUUAGAGGUUUUCAAUUUUACACACUUGCUAAUGGGAUGUAAGAACCAUUAGAGAAGCGCUCACAAUAAAGCUUAUGGAAUAAACAC
This is an RNA transcript of Mus musculus (house mouse), 6872 nucleotides long. It is a transcript of the gene named dystrobrevin binding protein 1, with no coding region annotated. The record is from RefSeq and is marked validated. The transcript has 11 exons. NCBI's taxonomy places the organism in Eukaryota, Metazoa, Chordata, Mammalia, Rodentia, Muridae.